UUCCAGGAGAGGGCACUCACCAGCUGCGGGGCAUUACCGAUCAGUGGCAGCUGCAGAUCCUCUAAUCAACCGCAGCAGAGCUCUAUUUAAGAGGAGAGGGAACCACUUCACAUCGCUGGAUGAUUAACUACUCACGGAUACUUGGAAUCUCUGAACCAUUGUUGGAUGUACCUACCUGGAAGUCACCAUAACCCGCCUGGAUUACAAUUCUCAAGGUUCGCCUCUCCUCCUUCUCCACUGCCCUCUGCCGCCAUCAUCUGGCUCCCUCUCCUGGACACCCCGUCACACCGUCUGCCCUCCCUGCUGGCUUCUGGACUCGUGCCGGCUUCGUUGUACUUGGAUAUUUCCAGGACACUUUUAGUUAGGUUAAUAAAUCAUUGUUUGAACUUUCUUCUUUGUCAUGUGAUGAUUCUUCAUGUCGUGGGUUAAACACCAUCCCAGGGACAUGACACUGGACCAGUGGAGAAGGAAUGGACAAAGCAGAGAGGGCCGGUCAGGGGUGAAACAGGUCCACUCCCUGGAUGUGCUAAGAGUGCAAGAAAGAGUUUGUCUGCAGCAGGACAAGAACCGCUCUGCAGAAGAGCACAGCAGCUAAAAGCUCCUGAACAUUGACGGACAUUAUCACCUGAAACUCAGACACUGAAAGUUGUUCAUAUGAAAAAUCAAUACCAGGUUAGGUUUGAUUUCUGCUACUUCAGAUUUUUUGUUCAUGAACAUUUUCUUUUUAUACUUUUCUGAAGAAAAAUAAUAUCUGUUUUUUUUCUGCUAUUAUUGUUUUGGUUUAAAAUGCCAAUUAUAAACUACGCACUAGCUUUAAAUUUUAAUAGCUCAAUAAAACCAGUUAUAAUUAAAAUAAUUAAUCUCAGCCCAUCAGAAAAACUGUGAUCUUGACCUCUGUCUUGAUACAGGAGUCUUUAAUGAAUUGUUGUCAUACUUGUUAACAUGUAGCCCCUUUAUUAUGGUAUGUGUGAUGUUAACACCCCUCCCAGGGUGGAGGUCUGCACUCUGACUGCUUUCUAGUUUUUGUUACUCAUCUUUCUGGAGUGUUUAAUUUUAAUACAGUACCAUGUUUUGCUUGC
Non-coding RNA from Nothobranchius furzeri (turquoise killifish), 1079 nucleotides. NCBI's taxonomy places the organism in Eukaryota, Metazoa, Chordata, Actinopteri, Cyprinodontiformes, Nothobranchiidae. The record is from RefSeq and is a predicted model, not a curated record.